GCCCGCGUAGCUCAAUGGCUAGAGCGUGUGACUUUUAAUCAUUGAAUUGAAAUCCCAAGGCUGUGGGUUCGAGUCCCACCGUGGGCG
Annulohypoxylon bovei var. microspora is the source of this 87-nucleotide non-coding RNA. The record is from the annotation of a GenBank genome assembly. NCBI's taxonomy places the organism in Eukaryota, Fungi, Ascomycota, Sordariomycetes, Xylariales, Hypoxylaceae.